GACGAACGCUGGCGGCGUGCUUAACACAUGCAAGUCGAACGGAAAGGCCCUGCUUUUGUGGGGUGCUCGAGUGGCGAACGGGUGAGUAACACGUGAGUAACCUGCCCUUGACUUUGGGAUAACUUCAGGAAACUGGGGCUAAUACCGGAUAGGAGAUACUGAUGCACGGUGGGGGUUGGAAAGUUCCGGCGGUUGGGGCUGGACUCGAGGGUUAUCAGCUUGUUGGUGGGGUAGGCGCUGUCAAAGGCUUUGACGGGUAGCCGGCCUGGGAGGGUGAACGGGCACAUUGCGACUGCGAGACGGAGCAGAAGCGAACGUGACGCAGCAGGCGGGAACAUGACACAGUGGGGCGGAGUGAGAUAUAGCGAUGCCGCGAUCGUGAUGACGUGCUAUUAGUUGUGAACCGCUGUCUAAGGAGAUGAGGCGUUAUUGACGGUAAUGGGUAAAGAAGCACCGGCUAACUACGUG
Molecule: ribosomal RNA, 468 nt
Filed under: uncultured bacterium
Lineage: Bacteria
Description: partial 16S ribosomal RNA
Rfam family: Bacterial small subunit ribosomal RNA
Source: RNAcentral